This 497-nucleotide ribosomal RNA is filed under the name uncultured bacterium. RNAcentral's name for it is "partial 16S ribosomal RNA". It matches the Rfam family "Bacterial small subunit ribosomal RNA", at positions 28 to 507 of the family's 1533-position model. The record is from RNAcentral.
GAUGAACGCUGGCGGCGUGCCUAAUACAUGCAAGUCGAGCGAACAGACGAGGAGCUUGCUCCUCUGACGUUAGCGGCGGACGGGUGAGUAACACGUGGAUAACCUACCUAUAAGACUGGGAUAACUUCGGGAAACCGGAGCUAAUACCGGAUAAUAUAUUGAACCGCAUGGUUCAAUAGUGAAAGACGGUUUUGCUGUCACUUAUAGAUGGAUCCGCGCCGCAUUAGCUAGUUGGUAAGGUAACGGCUUACCAAGGCGACGAUGCGUAGCCGACCUGAGAGGGUGAGCGGCCACACUGGAACUGAGACACGGUCCAGACUCCUACGGGAGGCAGCAGUAGGGAAUCUUCCGCAAUGGGCGAAAGCCUGACGGAGCAACGCCGCGGGAGUGAUGAAGGUCUUCGGAUCGUAAAACUCUGUUAUUAGGGAAGAACAAAUGUGUAAGUAACUAUGCACGUCUUGACGGUACCUAAUCAGAAAGCCACGGCUAACUACGUG